RNAcentral lists this ribosomal RNA (464 nucleotides) under uncultured bacterium. RNAcentral describes it as "partial 16S ribosomal RNA". It matches the Rfam family "Bacterial small subunit ribosomal RNA", at positions 29 to 507 of the family's 1533-position model. The record is from RNAcentral.
ACGCACGCUGGCGGCGUGCUUCACCCAUGCAAGUCGAACGGAAAGGCCCUGCUUGCCGGGUACUCGAGUGGCGAACGGGUGAGUAACACGUGGGUGAUCUGCCCUGCACUUCGGGAUAAGCCUGGGAAACUGGGUCUAAUACCGGAUAGGAGCCAUUUUUAGUGUGAUGGUUGGAAAGUUUUUUCGGUGUAGGAUGAGCUCGCGGCCUAUCAGCUUGUUGGUGGGGUAAUGGCCUACCAAGGCGGCGACGGGUAGCCGGCCUGAGAGGGUGGACGGCCACAUUGGGACUGAGAUACGGCCCAGACUCCUACGGGAGGCAGCAGUGGGGAAUAUUGCACAAUGGGCGCAAGCCUGAUGCAGCGACGCCGCGUGGGGGAUGACGGCCUUCGGGUUGUAAACUCCUUUCGCUAGGGACGAAGCUUUUUGUGACGGUACCUAGAGAAGAAGCACCGGCUAACUACGUG